GGGGCUGCAUCAGCCCUAGGGUCAUCUGAGAAGGAUGUACUUCUAAGCUCUCUUGUGCAAUUGCUGAUGGGAGGCAGUUUCUGUGGCUGUUGGGUUGAAGGCCUCAAUUCCUUCCUGGCUGUGGGCCAGAGGCUCUCUCAGUUCCUUGCCAUGUGGGCCCCUCCUUAGGGCAGCUGACAACAUGAUAGCUGGGUUCCUCAGAGUGAGAAAGAAAGAAAGUGAAGGAGAGAAAGUGUGUGUGUUUAAGGAAGAGGGACCCUACAGUCUUGUAUAACCUAGUAUCAUGGAGUGGCAUCCAACUGUGUCUGUAUUCUAUUCCUUAGAAGCCAGUCACUAGGUGCAGCCCAUAUUCCAGGGGAAGAGGUGUCAAAAGAGUGUGAACAGGAGGAAGGGGGGGUCUUUGGGAGACAAUUUAGAUCCCCUCCUACAAUCUUACACUUAAUAUAUACCUGAAAACGUGAUUCAGACCCAUGAUCUCACAUAAUUCACACACAUCAUUAUCAACCAAGUACGGAAAAUGUGGAUUAGCAAGCUUAAGUAACUUGUAGAAGGUUACGCACCACCAGAACCAGGACUUGAUUCCAGAAUUAUUUUAAAUUCAUUGUCCUUGCAUUCCAAGAAUCAGGAGAGUAUAUUGGAUGGAUUUAAUGAAAAAGGUGAAUCAUGUUGUUUUCUACUUUAUUCUUAACUGAGAAACUACUCACAUUUCCUAUCUCCAUUGUCCUAGGCAUCUGCAGCACAGUGGUCCAGAGUUCUGGAAAAUAUGGUUCUGAAGUUCAGAAUUCUAGAUUUGUUCCCAUGCAGGGGAUCCAAGGAGGUUCUGUGCUGUUUCAUAUAGUCAAGAAGCAAGAAGCUGACCCAGAGGAGGUCUCAUGGGGCUUUGGCCCUGAGUUAAACUACAGAGUCCUGCUGCGAGUCCACCGUGGGGCAGACACCCCAACCUGGGUCAGCCUCCAGGACAAGUACCAGCAGAGGGUCCAAGUGCCCAAUGUGACAUCCUUGAAGAUUGAGAACCUGACCCCAGAGGACAGUGGGCAGUACCGGGCUCGAGCCAGCUUCACUGGAGGAAUGGAAUUGAACCAGGUUUUCCUCCUCACUGUCUAUGAGCCUGUGAUCCUUCCUGAGAUCCUGGUCAAGUCAUCAUCAAUCACACCAGGCUUGUGCAAUGUCACCCUGGAGUGCAGGGACCCAGGGAAGAGAAAGGACCUGAAGGUGACCUGGGAGAGCGAGGGCCUUCCCAGGGAGCUGGAGUGGAGUGGGACACCAGGACCAGCCCCCAGCUCCUGGAGCCUGACUGUGAACCUGUCCCUGAGCCAGCCCAAUGCCAACCUCACCUGUGUGGUCAGCAACCAUGCAGACAAGAAAACUGCCACUGUAGACUUUGCACAAGUCUGUUUCCCUGGUUCACAAGAGCAGACCAUUGCUGGUCUUCUUGAAGGCAUCCUAUGUGGCGUCGUGGCUGUGCUAUUCUUCCUGGGAGCUGGACUGUACUUUUGGAAGACAUAUAAGAAGGAAAGGAACACAGAGACUGGAAGAGGAGCAGCAUUGCAGGAGGACCACAGGAACCAAGAUGAUGGCGAUUGGGCAGAGCAGAGCCAGGAAGAGUAUCAACAAGGCAUGUACCAGAGUAUCAGUGCACAACGUAUGGAACAAGAGUUGCCUCUCAACACUGUCUACUUUGCACAACAUCUGGAACAAGAGUUGCCUCUCAACACUGUCUACUCUGCGAUCCAGAACAUACCUGUGAGGGUAUGA
Molecule: long non-coding RNA, 1755 nt
Filed under: Bos indicus x Bos taurus (hybrid cattle)
Lineage: Eukaryota; Metazoa; Chordata; Mammalia; Artiodactyla; Bovidae
Description: lncRNA (ENSBIXG00000005612.1)
Source: RNAcentral